UUUUGGGGCUGUACAGAUGUGUGCAGCUGAACAGCAGCACACUGUGUCGAGUGGUAGUAGGUUCCCGACAGUGUAUGGUGGCAAAGGCGGUGGUGGGGCAGUGUCACCUUGCUCAGGUGGUAGUAGGUUCCCGACAGUGUAUGGUGGCAAAGGCGGUGGUGGGGCAGUGUCACCUUGCUCAGGUGGUAGUAGGUUCCCGACAGUGUAUGGUGGCAAAGGCGAUGGCGGGGCAGUGUCACCUUGCUCAGG
This is a long non-coding RNA of Brienomyrus brachyistius, 249 nucleotides long. RefSeq lists it as uncharacterized. The transcript is spliced from 3 exons. The record is from RefSeq and is a predicted model, not a curated record. Lineage: Eukaryota; Metazoa; Chordata; Actinopteri; Osteoglossiformes; Mormyridae.